GCCAGACUCCUACGGGAGGCAGCAGUGAGGAAUAUUGGUCAAUGGCCGGAAGGCUGAACCAGCCAAGCCGCGUGAAGGACGAAGGUGCCAAGCAUUGUAAACUUCUUUUGUCAAGGGACAAAAUCAGGCUCGAGAGCCUGACCGAGGGUACUUGAAGAAAAAGCAUCGGCUAACUCCGUGCCAGCAGCCGCGGUAAUAUGGAGGAUGCGAGCGUUAUCCGGAUUUAUUGGGUUUAAAGGGUGCGUAGGCGGACUGUUAAGUCGGCGGAAAAAGCCGGGGGCUCACCCCCGGCGAGCCGUUGAAACUGGCAAACUGGAGUGUGUGAGAGGAUAGUGGAAUUCCAGGUGUAGGAGUGAAAUCCGUAGAUAUCUGGAGGAACAUCAGUGGCGAAGGCGACUAUCUGGCACAUAACUGACGCUGAGGAGCGAAAGCGUGGGUAGCAAACAGGAUUAGAUACCCGAGUA
This 464-nucleotide ribosomal RNA is filed under the name uncultured bacterium. RNAcentral describes it as "bacterial SSU rRNA". It matches the Rfam family "Bacterial small subunit ribosomal RNA", at positions 330 to 792 of the family's 1533-position model. The record is from RNAcentral.